GACAUGGCCGAGCGGUCUAAGGCGCAGGAGUAAGGUUCCUGUUCGAAAGAGCGUGGGUUCAAAUCCCACUGUCC
RNAcentral lists this transfer RNA (74 nucleotides) under Picocystis salinarum. It matches the Rfam family "tRNA". Rfam says of the family: Transfer RNA (tRNA) molecules are approximately 80 nucleotides in length. Their secondary structure includes four short double-helical elements and three loops (D, anti-codon, and T loops). Lineage: Eukaryota; Viridiplantae; Chlorophyta; Picocystophyceae; Picocystales; Picocystaceae. The record is from RNAcentral.